CUUCAAAUGAUGCACGGCCCAUGUCCAUAAUAAGAGAUGUGUUUGGACCACACAGAGCUCUGGGACGUGUGGACAGACAUUCGCUGUAAUGAAGGACAUCUGCUCAUGGACAGAAGCAUAACCACUGCUGGACAUCGCUCUGGGACUCAGGGGGGGACCCGAAUCAUCCUCACCCCUUCAUUCACACAACACUCACUCAUAUCACAGAGAUCUGGCUGGGAUCAAACCAGCAACCUCUGAACCUUGAGGCAGUGCUCUUACCUGUGAGCCACAGAUCUCUUAUCUGAACAUGUGCUGGAACUUAUAUUUCACUGUUCACCUGCAUGUGAUUUUACAAUAAACCUGUUA
Molecule: long non-coding RNA, 348 nt
Organism: Sinocyclocheilus rhinocerous
Lineage: Eukaryota; Metazoa; Chordata; Actinopteri; Cypriniformes; Cyprinidae
Exons: 3
Source: RefSeq, a predicted model, not a curated record